This 71-nucleotide transfer RNA is filed under the name Stegodyphus mimosarum. It matches the Rfam family "tRNA". From Rfam's summary of the family: Transfer RNA (tRNA) molecules are approximately 80 nucleotides in length. Their secondary structure includes four short double-helical elements and three loops (D, anti-codon, and T loops). Further hydrogen bonds mediate the characteristic L-shaped molecular structure. tRNAs have two regions of fundamental functional importance: the anti-codon, which is responsible for specific mRNA codon recognition, and the 3' end, to which the tRNAs corresponding amino acid is attached (by aminoacyl-tRNA synthetases). tRNAs cope with the degeneracy of the genetic code in two manners: having more than one tRNA (with a specific anti-codon) for a particular amino acid; and 'wobble' base-pairing, i.e. permitting non-standard base-pairing at the 3rd anti-codon position. The record is from Rfam by way of RNAcentral. Lineage: Eukaryota; Metazoa; Arthropoda; Arachnida; Araneae; Eresidae.
GCCUUCGUGGUGUAACAGUAGCAUACUUGGAUCAUAUUCAAGAGGUCCGGGUUCGAGUCCUGGGGAGGGCA